GUGGGGAAUAUUGGACAAUGGGCGAAAGCCUGAUCCAGCCAUGCCGCGUGUGUGAAGAAGGUCUUCGGAUUGUAAAGCACUUUAAGUUGGGAGGAAGGGCAGUAAGUUAAUACCUUGCUGUUUUGACGUUACCGACAGAAUAAGCACCGGCUAACUUCGUGCCAGCAGCCGCGGUAAUACGAAGGGUGCAAGCGUUAAUCGGAAUUACUGGGCGUAAAGCGCGCGUAGGUGGUUUUGUAAGUUGGAGGUGAAAUCCCCGGGCUCAACCUGGGAACUGCCUCCAAAACUGCAUGACUAGAGUACGGUAGAUGGUAGUGGAAUGUCCUGUGUAGCGGUGAAAUGCGGAGAUAUAGGAAGGAACACCAGUGGCGAAGGCGACUACCUGGACUGAUACUGACACUGAGGUGCGAAAGCGUGGGGAGCAAACAGGAUUAGAAACCCGGGUAGUCC
Molecule: ribosomal RNA, 450 nt
Filed under: uncultured bacterium
Lineage: Bacteria
Description: bacterial SSU rRNA
Rfam family: Bacterial small subunit ribosomal RNA
Source: RNAcentral